AAUGAACGCUGGCGGCAUGCCUAACACAUGCAAGUCGAACGAAGGCUUCGGCAUUAGUGGCGCACGGGUGCGGAACGCGGGGGAAUCUGCCCGUGGGUACGGAAUAACAGUUAGAAAUGACUGCUAACGUCGGAAGACGUCGGAAGACCAAAGAUUUAUCGCCCAAGGAUGAGCCCGCGUAGGACUAGCCGGUUGGGGGGGUAAAGGCCUAUCAAGGCGACGAUCCUUAGCUGGGCAGAGAGGAUGGUCAGCCACACUGGGACUGAGACACGGCCCAGACUCCUGCGGGAGGCAGCAGUGGGUAAUAUUGGACAAUGGGCGAAAUCAUGAUCCAGCACUGCCGCGUGAGUGAUGAUGUCCUGAGGGAUGUAAAGCUCUUUUACCCGGGGUGAUAAUGACAGUACCGGGAGAAUAAGCACCGGCUAACUUCGUG
This 433-nucleotide ribosomal RNA is filed under the name uncultured bacterium. RNAcentral describes it as "partial 16S ribosomal RNA". It matches the Rfam family "Bacterial small subunit ribosomal RNA", at positions 29 to 507 of the family's 1533-position model. The record is from RNAcentral.